Long non-coding RNA from Phyllostomus discolor (pale spear-nosed bat), 2212 nucleotides. RefSeq lists it as uncharacterized. The transcript is spliced from 2 exons. Lineage: Eukaryota; Metazoa; Chordata; Mammalia; Chiroptera; Phyllostomidae. The record is from RefSeq and is a predicted model, not a curated record.
AGAAAUAUUAUGGUUUAGCCUUUUUAAAAAUAAAUAUAAGUACAUAACAGUAUGUAUAUCAUUGUCAGUUUCCUGGUUUUAACCAUGUUUAUUUAAAGUUUUAUCAUUGGGGAAACUGAAUGAAGGGUAUAUGAGAAAUCUCUGUAUUUGUGCAAUUUAAAGUAUUAAGAAGAGAUUGUGAAAGUUCUUUUAGAAUAAUUUUUACUUUACAGUGGAAUAAGAUGCAAAGCCACUAGAGGGUUGGGAUGAGAGAAGGAAGGGUGUUGAAAGUUCGAAGAGAAAGGAGAAGUGGCAGAAUAAUCACUUCAGGGAGUGGGGAAAUAAGUUGACUGUGUAAAUAAAUAUAGGAUUAGACUGGGAGCAUUGGAGGACCAUUUGUAACUUUCAUUCAUGAAUUCAAAGUGAGACCAGUCAACGUGAUUAUGUUUCUUUCUUUAGUCACGUUUUGCUGCAAAAGGUAAGGAUGAAGCAGACAGUUGAUUUUAUUCAGGUUGGGGUUAUAGCAAGUGAAUAUAAACAGGAAGGGCAAGGAAGAGAUCAUCUUAAUGGUUCAUGGAAUUUAAGCUUUGAAAGGAGGAAAGUGUGAGGACUUCAUUGGGGGUGGUGAUGGAGUUAAAAAAAUAGUGGUGGGGUCAGUGGAUUGUAGCUGCUGGUGGAGUUAAGUUGUGUGAGUCAAGUUAUUAGGAGACAUGAGUUAUAAAGUAAGAAAUGAUGGUUAAAUGGGGAAUGCUUGAGGUUGGAGGGUUACAGUUGAAUGUAAUAUGUAACUGUAGGAAUGGGUGUGUGAGAUGUGAUGGAGGACAAGAUUGUUGGAAAUAAGCAAGUCAAGAAACUGAGAGGCUAGUGUGUUGCAUGCCCUUUUUGACUGGAUAUUAAAAUCAGAAAUAAUGGCAGGAAUAGUGGUAAAGAAAGAAAGCAUAAAAGGGUGCCAAAAUCUGUGAGUGAGGGAACUAUGGGAGGUCUUAGGUGAUUGCACAAGGUACAGUAGCAGGGGAUGUGGUCAGUUGGCAGGUGUUUCAGAGGAGCUGGGUGUUUUAGAAAGGCAAAUAAAUAGAAGGAAGUCUAGAAGGAGUGGAGAGCCAGAAUACCUGCCUCUAGGCCCAAUCAUAUGAGAGGUUGAAAGAGAAAAGAGAUACCAUGUCUGUGAGAGGGGAAUAGGGUCCUUAGGAGACAGUCUUGUUUGUUUAGAAAAAAGGGGAAGGAAAAUUGAAAAAAAGUUUAGUAGGAUAUGGACAGUUUUCCAAUUGAUAGAUUGUGAGUGCCAGAGCAAGCAGUGAAAGGGUUUGGUGGAGCAAGGACAGCUGUAAUAUCAUGCCAGAUUUUAGGUCCUAUCCAGUGCCACAUGGAAGUGGGAUUAGGGAUAUCCUUUGAGUUCCAGGGCUUUUUGAUAAAGAGGUGUGUAAGAAGACAUGGUGGAAUAGUCCUGAUGGCCUUUGAGAUAGGUGGAUAAUCUGUUUAAAUUGUGGUCUCCUUCCUGGCACUGCUAUUUUAAAGCAGUUUGUAGUUAUGUAGCUGUAGCAUAUAGAAUUUGAGAGGGUACCCAAGAUGGAGUUCCAUCCUGCUAGGAAUACAAAUUGUUCAGUGGACCUUUAUUAAGUUCUGCAGAGAGGUAAUGUUUUGAGACCAGGAGAGGGCAGUCUUCGACAUGCAUCUCUGUGAGAUGAGAUGUUUUCAGUUAUAUCUUGAUUUGGUCAUUGGGACUGCCACAGAGUGCUUUUGUGUACAUUUGACAUGUCCCCAUUGUUCUUUAAUUAUUCUUUACCUUUGGUACAAUGAAAUGUUCCCAGUUUAUCUUAUGUUUUAUUCAGCCUUGGCAUUAGCCAUUUCUCUUAAGAGCUGUGACUUCUCCCAGUGGAAAAUGGUAUUUAGGAAUCACCUCUGGAUGCAAGGUAUAAUUUUACUGCCAGGGUAUUGUUGCUUUCAGUUUCUCACAACAGACAGAAAUAGGAACUUUGUAUGUAUGUGUACACACAUGCAUACCUGUCAGGUUUUUCAACCUGCAUGGUUGUAUCUAUGUAUGUUGAAAGUCAUGAGGUAUAUACUGUUAGCUCUAAUUCUGUGCAAACACCACAGAGUUUACUCUAGCUUUUCUGCCUUUCCAUUUUAUGUGGCAAAUUACCAAUGAGAAACCUAAUAGCUAUCAUCUUUAAGAUAUUUGCUCAAUAUACCCUGUAUGUAGCCAGUGUUGUGGCUACACUGGCCAAAAUGCUAA